This 420-nucleotide ribosomal RNA is filed under the name uncultured bacterium. Its description in RNAcentral is "bacterial SSU rRNA". It matches the Rfam family "Bacterial small subunit ribosomal RNA", at positions 976 to 1395 of the family's 1533-position model. The record is from RNAcentral.
AGAUCCUUGACAUCCUCUUACACGCCCUAGAAAUAGGGUUUCCCUUCCGGGCAAAAUGACAAGGGGGGCAUGGUUGUCUUCAGCUCGUGUCGUGAGAUGUUGGGUUAAGUCCCGCAACGAGCGCAACCCUUAAUUUUAUUUGCCAUCAUUAAGUUGGGCACUCUAUACUGACUGCCGGGGACAAACCGGAGGAAGGGGGGGACGACGUCAAAUCAUCAUGCCCCUUAUGAUUUGGGCUACACACGUGCUACAAUGGACAGGUUACAAAGGGCAGCGACCCCGCGAGGCCAAACGAAUCCCAUAAAACUGUUCUCAGUUCGGAUUGGAGUCUGCAACUCGACUCCAUGAAGCUGGAAUCGCUAGUAAUCGUAGAUCACCAUGCUACGGUGAAUACGUUCCCGGGUCUUGGACACACCGAUU